Long non-coding RNA from Patella vulgata (common limpet), 972 nucleotides. RefSeq lists it as uncharacterized. The transcript has 4 exons. The record is from RefSeq and is a predicted model, not a curated record. Lineage: Eukaryota; Metazoa; Mollusca; Gastropoda; Patellidae.
GGCUCAAUUUCCCUGAAACGUCUUUCUAGAUUAGAGUUAAGUGCUAGGGGGUCAUAAAAAUACAUGACAUCAAAAGCAGACGACAAUCUAUAUGUCCAAACUGAAGAUCUGAGCUAAAUUUGGGGUGAGAGCAAGUGUACAUUGAUUAUACGUCAAGUGGUAAAGAAAGUCCGUUCCAAGAGAAUCAACAUAUAUGUGAUCAUAAAUUAAAAAUCGGUAUUGACUGUUUAGGUGAACGUGUCCACAAGUCUCAUACGAUGUUAAUGAAUACGUAUGUGACAAUUCUGUGAUAUCACGUCCCACCCCCAGGAGUGACUAUGUCAACUAAACCGUUAUAUAAAUAUCUGUUUAUAGUAUAUGCGUAGCGAUAUUCAAAUAUAACUGCAAUGGAUUUACAGGUUACAUUUUUGAUUGUGUUCAGUGUUGGGUUAUUUUCAGGAAAUUCAGGUGGGAUUCCGGCUGUUACUCUUGUACAAUUACUAGAAGAAGAAUUAUAUAAGACAUUACAAGGGUGUGAAAACCACGAAGACUGUUCGUGUGUCGAUGGUGUAGCUGUUUGCUAUGGUGGAUGUUGUCAUUGUAUUUAUUCUCGGUUUAGAUGUAAAGAAAGUAUUAAUUGUUCUGAUGCUUGUCCUGACAACAAAUCAAUGUGUUUGCUUGAUAGGUGUCACUGUGUUACUGAACAAGCUGCCCAGCUUAUUGCUUUAGAAAAUGGAAACCAAAAUAACACGGAAUCCAAGAUAGAAGAUAUUUUAUCCCAAAUGCCUCACCGAAUUCAGACUAUUCCAGUAAUAUCCGUAAAACCGGCGAAAAAUGGAAGUCAAAGUCAAAUUAAACCAGUAAAAACAAAUGACACCAUUGCAAAACCACAUUUUUUAGAUAUGAAAUAAAAUCUAUAUUUCAAUAUAAUAUUAUAGGCAUAUUGUUUUACAUUAUUAAAAUUUGAUGCAUGGACCUGUGUGGGUCUGUAAA